GCGUCCGUAGUUCAGUUGGAUAGAAUGUCGGCCUCCGACGCCGAAGAUCGUGGGUUCGAGUCCCGCCGGGCGUACCA
Molecule: transfer RNA, 77 nt
Filed under: Oscillospiraceae bacterium
Lineage: Bacteria; Bacillati; Bacillota; Clostridia; Eubacteriales; Oscillospiraceae
Description: tRNA-Arg
Rfam family: tRNA
About the family: Transfer RNA (tRNA) molecules are approximately 80 nucleotides in length. Their secondary structure includes four short double-helical elements and three loops (D, anti-codon, and T loops).
Source: RNAcentral